UAAUAAGUGUUUUAUGGCACUUUUUAAAUCCAUAUCCACCUUGUGUGCAAUGUCAGUCGAUCUUCUUCAUGGAGAUCGACCAAACAUCAACCUUUAUCUUUUAACUCUUUGUCUGAAUAAUAUUAUGAAUAAACAAUUCAAAAUA
This 145-nucleotide unclassified non-coding RNA is filed under the name soil metagenome. Its description in RNAcentral is "partial internal transcribed spacer 1". The record is from RNAcentral.